Molecule: long non-coding RNA, 397 nt
Organism: Sinocyclocheilus grahami
Lineage: Eukaryota; Metazoa; Chordata; Actinopteri; Cypriniformes; Cyprinidae
Exons: 2
Source: RefSeq, a predicted model, not a curated record
UAUCCAAUGGAGGGCUAUGGUACAGAUGCCGUAAUUCAGCUGAAGGCCCUGUCCACAGAUUCAGUAGAGAAGCUUCCAGUGUUCAAUCAGACUGCCUUGCGCCAUUACAAAUUCAACCAGGAAGCUGAUGACUGGUGCGUCCCGAGCAAGGAGCCGCUGAACUUAGCUGCCUACAAGGUUGCAAAGUGAACCAUCAGAGCUGGCUGCCUUAAAGAUAUGAAAAAGUCUUUCAAGAGAUUGCCAAGAUAGACUUCCAUUGUGGAUGCUCGCAUUCCCUACUGAACUGGGGACCAGUGACAGCAUUUCCCAAUGCUCUUUGAGUACUGUUGCCUGGGAACACUUAAACGGCAUGUGGCCAGAAUUUAAGAUGCAAAACAGUAGAUUCCUUAGUAAAAAA